Molecule: ribosomal RNA, 433 nt
Filed under: uncultured bacterium
Lineage: Bacteria
Description: partial 16S ribosomal RNA
Rfam family: Bacterial small subunit ribosomal RNA
Source: RNAcentral
AACGAACGCUGGCGGCAUGCCUAACACAUGCAAGUCGAACGAGACCUUCGGGUCUAGUGGCGCACGGGUGCGUAACGCGUGGGAACCUGCCCUUAGGUUCGGAAUAACUCCCCGAAAGGGGUGCUAAUACCGGAUAAUGUCUUCGGACCCAAGAUUUAUCGCCUUUGGAUGGGCCCGCGUUGUAUUAGCUAGUUGGUAGGGUAAAAGCCUACCAAGGCGACGAUCCAUAGCUGGUCUGAGAGGAUGAUCAGCCACACUGGGACUGAGACACGGCCCAGAAUCCUACGGGAGGCAGCAGAGGGGAAUAUUGGACAAUGGGCGAAAGCAUGAUCCAGCAAUGCCGCGUGAGUGAUGAAGGCGUUAGGGUUGUAAAGCUCUUUUACCCGGGAUGAUAAUGACAGUACCGGGAGAAUAAGCUCCGGCUAACUCCGUG